ACAAACCGGAGGAAGGUGGGGAUGACGUCAAGUCCUCAUGGCCCUUAUGGUGGGCUACACACGUCAUACAAUGGCCGGUACAGAGGGUUGCCAACCCGCGAGGGGGAGCUAAUACCCACAAAGCCGAUCGUAGUCCGGAUCGCAGUCUGCAACUCGACUGCGUGAAGUCGGAAUCGCUAGUAAUCGUGGAUCAGCAUGUCACGGUGAAUACGUUCCCGGGUCUU
RNAcentral lists this ribosomal RNA (224 nucleotides) under uncultured Rhodocyclaceae bacterium. RNAcentral describes it as "partial 16S ribosomal RNA". It matches the Rfam family "Bacterial small subunit ribosomal RNA", at positions 1158 to 1382 of the family's 1533-position model. Lineage: Bacteria; Pseudomonadati; Pseudomonadota; Betaproteobacteria; Rhodocyclales; Rhodocyclaceae. The record is from RNAcentral.